RNAcentral lists this ribosomal RNA (322 nucleotides) under uncultured eukaryote. Its description in RNAcentral is "partial 18S ribosomal RNA". It matches the Rfam family "Eukaryotic small subunit ribosomal RNA", at positions 1470 to 1796 of the family's 1831-position model. The record is from RNAcentral.
CCCUUAGAUGUUCUGGGCUGCACGCGCGCUACACUGACGCACGCAACAGGUGCCUGCUCCGAGAGGACUGGGUAAUCAUUUGAGUGUGCGUCGUGAUGGGGAUAGAAUAUUGUAAUUAUUACUCUUCAACGAGGAAUUCCUAGUAAGCGCAAGUCAGCAGCUUGCGCUGAUUACGUCCCUGCCCUUUGUACACACCGCCCGUCGCUCCUACCGAUUGAAUGGUCCGGUGAAGCCUCGGGAUUGUGGUUGGUUUCCUUUAUUGGAGAUUGAUUGCGAGAACUUGUCUAAACCUUAUCAUUUAGAGGAAGGUGAAGUCGUAACA